This 161-nucleotide unclassified non-coding RNA is filed under the name uncultured Glarea. Its description in RNAcentral is "sequence contains ITS1". Lineage: Eukaryota; Fungi; Ascomycota; Leotiomycetes; Helotiales; Helotiaceae. The record is from RNAcentral.
CAGUGUUCCCUGCCCUCACGGGUAGAAACGCCCACCCUUGUGUAUUAUAUCUUUGUUGCUUCGGCAGGCCGCCUUCGGGCACCGGCUCCGGCUGGAUCGUGCCUGCCAAAGGAAACCCAAACUCUGAAUGUUAGUGUCGUCUGAGUACUAUCUAAUAGUUA